RNAcentral lists this ribosomal RNA (368 nucleotides) under uncultured organism. Its description in RNAcentral is "bacterial SSU rRNA". It matches the Rfam family "Bacterial small subunit ribosomal RNA", at positions 526 to 896 of the family's 1533-position model. The record is from RNAcentral.
CGGAGGGUGCAAGCGUUAUCCGGAUUCACUGGGUUUAAAGGGUGCGUAGGCGGAUAAGUGAGUCAGUGGUGAAAUCUCCGGGCUUAACUCGGAAACUGCCGUUGAUACUAUUUAUCUUGAAUAUCAUGGAGGUAAGCGGAAUAUGUCAUGUAGCGGUGAAAUGCUUAGAUAUGACAUAGAACACCGAUAGCGAAGGCAGCUUACUACAUGUUAAUUGACGCUGAGGCACGAAAGCGUGGGGAGCAAACAGGAUUAGAUACCCUGGUAGUCCACGCCCUAAACGAUGGAUACUCGACAUCAGCGAUACACUGUUGGUGUCUGAGCGAAAGCAUUAAGUAUCCCACCUGGGAAGUACGACCGCAAGGUUG